RNAcentral lists this ribosomal RNA (478 nucleotides) under uncultured bacterium. Its description in RNAcentral is "partial 16S ribosomal RNA". It matches the Rfam family "Bacterial small subunit ribosomal RNA", at positions 28 to 523 of the family's 1533-position model. The record is from RNAcentral.
GACGAACGCUGGCGGCGUGCUUAACACAUGCAAGUCGAACGGUAAGGCCCUUCGGGGUACACGAGUGGCGAACGGGUGAGUAACACGUGGGUGAUCUGCCCUGCACUUCGGGAUAAGCCUGGGAAACUGGGUCUAAUACCGGAUAGGACCCUGGGAUGCAUGUCCUGGGGUGGAAAGCUUUUGCGGUGUGGGAUGGGCCCGCGGCCUUUCAGCUUGUUGGUGGGGUGAUGGCCUACCAAGGCGACGCCGGGUAGCCGGCCGGGGAGGGUGACCGGCCACACUGGGACUGAGAUACGGCCCAGACUCCUACGGGAGGCAGCAGUGGGGAAUAUUGCACAAUGGGCGCAAGCCUGAUGCAGCGACGCCGCGUGAGGGAUGACGGCCUUCGGGUUGUAAACCUCUUUCAGCACCGACGAAGCGCAAGUGACGGUAGGUGCAGAAGAAGGACCGGCCAACUACGUGCCAGCCGCCGCGGUAA